RNAcentral lists this ribosomal RNA (497 nucleotides) under uncultured bacterium. RNAcentral describes it as "partial 16S ribosomal RNA". It matches the Rfam family "Bacterial small subunit ribosomal RNA", at positions 28 to 507 of the family's 1533-position model. The record is from RNAcentral.
GAUGAACGCUGGCGGCGUGCCUAAUACAUGCAAGUCGAGCGAACCGACGAGGAGCUUGCUCCUCUGACGUUAGCGGCGGACGGGUGAGUAACACGUGGAUAACCUACCUAUAAGACUGGGAUAACUUCGGGAAACCGGAGCCAAUACCGGAUAAUAUAUUGAACCGCAUGGUUCAAUAGUGAAAGACGGUUUUGCUGUCACUUAUAGAUGGAUCCGCGCCGCAUUAGCUAGUUGGUAAGGUAACGGCUUACCAAGGCAACGAUGCGUAGCCGACCUGAGAGGGUGAUCGGCCACACUGGAACUGAGACACGGUCCAGACUCCUACGGGAGGCAGCAGUAGGGAAUCUUCCGCAAUGGGCGAAAGCCUGACGGAGCAACGCCGCAUGAAUGAUGAAGGUCUUCGGAUCGUAAAACUCUGUUAUUAGGGAAGAACAAAUGUGUAAGUAACUAUGCACGUCUUGACGGUACCUAAUCAGAAAGCCACGGCUAACUACGUG